Salvia splendens (bonfire salvia) is the source of this 3599-nucleotide RNA transcript. It is a transcript of the gene named transcription factor MYB105-like, with no coding region annotated. Lineage: Eukaryota; Viridiplantae; Streptophyta; Magnoliopsida; Lamiales; Lamiaceae. The transcript is spliced from 6 exons. The record is from RefSeq and is a predicted model, not a curated record.
CAAGUAUUUCGACUUUUAUCCGAGCAAAUAUGCUUUGUUUCACUUGUGUCGAUGAACCAAGCUCUUGGCUUACCCACGUGGUUCACUUCGGAGACCACGACUGAUGAGGCAUCCUCGUCAAAGGCCCUCCCAGCAAGUUGCUACCUUCUGUUCUCGUUAGACACGAGAGUGCUUCGACGAUCACCUUAGACGGACAGUCUGAGUCGUUCAAUUAAUCAAUUUCAUCUCUUUUUGUUUUGCUUCAAUAAUUCACAUAACCAAAGCUUCAGUGGACAAUUACAAAUUUAUCAUUACUAGUACUCCUCAUUUAUUAAUUAUUGAUUAUAAAUAAAUCAGAGUAAAAAAGGAAUUAUUUUCAGAUUCAAAACGCAAUCUUUGAAUAAUUGUAUAUUUGUAUUCUACAGAAAUUUGAGAAAUUGAAAAUUUCAGAAUUUCUUCCAGGUUAAAAGCUUUCUCGCUCUAAGACGACCGAGAGAGAAAAUUGAAGAUGCCGAGGGGACUGUCGUUUUCGGUUGAUACAUGGAUGCCGUCUUCAAACAUGAAGAGGAGUCAUUUCCUCACCCACGCUCACAAAGACCACGUGCAAGGGAUCCUCUCUCACGCUUCCUAUCCUAUCUACUCCACGCUCCUUACCAAAACUCUUCUCCGCCAAUUCUAUCCUCAGCUUGAUGAAUCGAUGUUCGUAGGUAUUGAGGUCGGUCAAUCUCUGGUGAUUGACGAUCCGGAUGGUGAUUUCGUUGUCACUGCGUUUGACGCCAAUCAUUGUCCAGAUCUGAGCAGUGAUGUUUCUGUUUGAAGGAAGUUUUGGCAAUGUAUUUCACACAGGAGAUUGCAGAUUAACCCCCGAGUGUUUGCUAAGUUUACCAGACAAGUGCAUUGGCAAGAAAAGGAAAGAACCAAAAUGUCCAUUUGAUUACAUCUUUUUAGAUUCCACAUUUGGUCAAUGCCCUGUGAAGAUGCCCAGCAAACACUCAGCAAAGCAGCAGGUUAUCAACUGUAUAUGGAAACACCCUGAUGCCCGUGCGGUGUAUUUGGCAUGUGAUCUUCUAGGUCAAGAAGAGAUACUUGUAGAGGUGUCACAAACAUUUGGUGAGAAGAUAUAUGUAGAUAAAGCCAAAAACUUAGCGUGCUUUAACUCGCUUAAACUUAUAGCCCCUGAGGUCAUAUCAGAAGAUCCAUCUUCACGUUUCAAACUAUUUGAUUGCUUCCCAAAACUAUAUGAAAGAGCUGGAGCAAUCCUAGCUGAUGCACGUGCCAAUUUUCAGCACGACCCCCUUAUUAUACGUCCUUCUUCACAAUGGUAUGCUUGUAAUGAGGGUGUUUCUGAGAUGGAAAAGCAAAGAAAGGAAAGAGUUGAUCAAGCUGUCAAAGAUAUGCAUGAUAUUUGGCACGUAGGUUACUCAAUACUCUCAUCCAGAGAGGAAUUGGAUUGGGCCUUGCAACUUCUUGGGCCUAAAUGGGUAGUGUCAACAACGCCUAGCUGCAGGGCUAUGGAGCUGGAUUAUGUUAAAAAGCACUGUUUUAAAAAUCUACAAACUUUUGACAACUCUCUGUGCAAACUUCUUGACAUUAAUAUGGUAGAGUCUUUAGUUCCAGAUGGAUCAAAUGAAAAUUCGAGCUGCUCGCAUGUGGUGGACAUCUCCAGUGGCCAUGUAGAAAAGCAAUCUGGACCUUUUGUCAGAUCCACAUACCAGCGGAAACGGUUGAGUUUAUCUCCCCCAAGCAAAAGACCAAUGGUCACAUUAUUUGGGCAAGCGAGGCUUGGACUCCCCUAUUCAUCCUUCCUACUUGAAUGUAAAGAUGCAUCAGCCAUUUGUAACUGAGGAGAAAGAACUGAUUGAAACAAACAAUGUUUCCUUUCAGAAAGAAAAUGUUAUUACUGAGAACUCCGAAGAGCAAUUUGUAACAAUGAGACAAAUUGAGUUUUCUGGAACAAAUUGCAGUGGGCCUAACAAUACUUAUGAUAAGGAGAUUUCCACCAGUAGUUCAAUGGCGAAAUCAGCAGCAGAAACAAAGAAUGUGUCAUUUGAGAAAGAAAAUAUUACUCAAGUGAAUGCUAAAGAGCAAUUACAAACCAAGAGAAAAGUCGAAUUUACUGAGACAAAUUCCACAGAACAUGCUGCUACUUCAACUGUGAGGUCUUUGAACUGCUAUGAUGAAAACUUAAGAAGAUUAUACAGGUCUAUGAAUGUACCAGUGCCUCAGCGCCUUCCCUCUCUUGUGAUGGUUAUGAAAACCAAAAAAUCUGCAAGGAAGAGGACUUAAAAAAAUUUCUCUACAAGAUUUUAAAUCCUUAUUUUUAGUGGUCAUUGUUGGCUAUCAUCUGCUCAUGCUUGAUUGUUUCAAGGGACCUCUUUCAACCAUGUAACUUAGAGUUGUGAUGUUUAAAUGGCUUUUUUUGCCUGAAAAAGAAGAUAAAAUAUCAGCAAUGUAAGGGAGUGACUUAUGCCUCACAAUUGAGAAACUUGCUUCAAGUGGUUGAAAGGAUGCAUGGGGCUGCAAAUAUUGUGUGCUGACAAGGAACUACUUAAAGGUAAGCUUUAAACUCCAUUAAAUGACCGUAGCUUGUAUCAAAUUUCUCCAUGUAGUAGUUAUUUAUUUAUGGAGUGUGUUGCUAGUGUAUUCUCUGAAAACUGAGUGGUAGGAUGUUAUGCACUUCACACAAUUUAGUAAAUUUAAUAGGUAAAGGCAAUGAAUGAUAUGAUACAUCACAUUGUUCCAGGAUUUCUCUUUGGAAGAUGGCAGCAAUUUUCAUUUUUUUUUUAAUUUCUUGCAAUAAUAUUUGACAUAUAAUUUUCACCAUGCUCCUGUCUAUCAUUCCCUGUGAAGGCUGUGACAGAUGCUGCCUCUCUUUUGAAAUAUAGAAUUUGCAUCUAUUUCCCAGAAUGCACAGUACCAACACUUUCGGGUUGUUUGAUAUAUUAUUGCAAAAUGGACAAGCAACUCAGACCUGCAAUUAAAAGACCAGCUAAUUUAUUUCUAAAAUGUUAUUUUUUUUUCUCUUUGUUGAUGCAACAAUAAAUUACAUUUUGAAACUCACAUGUACCAACGGCACACUCAUAAAGCAGGUUUGCUUGCACAAUGUUUUUAAAGUCUAACUACUUAUUUUUCUUUUAUUUUCUUGUGUUUAAUUAUAUUUGAGAUAAUAAAAGUGGUGGCUGCUUCAAUCUGUUUCUAGUUCUCAUAGAAUUUGUGACUUUUUGAAAUUUUAAAAAUAAAAAAUGGCAAGCAGUAUUAAAUUUUGCAACCUAUGCAUUUCUUCGCAUUAUAUUCCGGAAAUGUUUCCUUUGGCUUUUCUAGGGAUAAGCAUAGCGAACGCUAAGUACAGAAACUCAUUAAUGGAAUUGACGCACGGAGUUGAGUCAUUUACGAUGCUAGAAUACUUUAGCGUCCGUUAGAUGUGUUGACAAUGAAACCUGAGUCAGUGAAUAGUAGGUAUGAUAUUUAUGUAAUUCACCCAAAUUGACAAAAUCAGUUUAAUUAUUAUAUCUCUCCAGCUAUGCAUCGAUGCAUUUUAUUAAAACUCGGCCCCCCUAUAAAUUCCAUUUUGAACUUCUCACUUCAGAAGCCACAGACAUAAUUAGUCAUCUUUAAGAGGC